GCAACAUGUUAAACCAGCCGUCACCACACAUCUCCUGCAUUGUAACCCGGAGCUCCAUGUAUCUCAUAGUCAGAUAUCGUUGUCUGCAACCUCACAAUGAACCGGUCUUCCAACACCACUACUCUGCGUCCUUGUCUGGAGGAGCACAGCUUAAGUUACCUAGGUGGAGUGUGGCAGCAUUGUUACAAACUCGAAUGCACCUGGAUACGUUUCACUCAGAUGUUCCGUGAUCUCCUUCACAAACCUUCCAUGACCUGAACUUCCUCUAUUUAGAAGAGGCGCUGACAGAAAAAAAGCUAAAUGUACAAUAUUUCUUUUUUUCAACAAUUUGGGAGGCCUGUUCUUGUAUAUUUCAGCGGCAAUCACACAGCAGCUUCUUCAGGCCAUGUUUUUGAUUGGUUCAAAUUGGGGCACGGAGAUGUCAACAGCUGUUGGGGCCAUCACUGGCCAAUUAGAAGCAUUGUUUACUGAAAAAAAUAAAACCUUUUCUUGCCACUCUAAACCAACCAACAACUUAUUCCCUUAUUCACUUGUUGGCAAUUAAAAAACAAGUUCCGCUUCAACAUAGAGAACUGGAUGCUGUGCCUUAAUAAGUCUUUGCAUCUUCAUGCAAACACCUUCUAAAAUCAUGGUAAUUCUGCUGGCCUAUAAGAGGUCAGAACCCCCGUAGCCGUAUGAGUUGCUUAAGAAAGAGACUUUCAGAUCACUAACACUAUUAUUUGUCUGCAUGCUCCCUUGAUAUCACCUAAACAGCAUACCUCCAGUAAUUGCAACACGAUUAUUUGAACUACCAACGUUGGAACAUGUGACGAUCUUGCUUUUUUUUUUUUUAAACCCCUCUUCCUCCGAGCUCACGAUUUCCGUAACGACAAAUGCUAUGAAUACUAAUUAAACGGCUGCAUGUGGGUGCAUGGAUCAUUGCUCUCCGCUGAUUAAGGAACGAUAGGAGAGACUAUAUAAAUCAAAGACAACCUACCCAUCUAAUUAGCUGGCCCAGCCAUUAAAUCCACUAACAAGCAACCGAGGUGAUUCUUCCCCACAUAAUCUUCCCCGUGAUUACAUGAUGCCGAUACGACCGUCGAACUCUCUGUUCGUCUCUGUUUUCACGGUAAAAAAUGAAAAGCGGACCGUGAAAGUAGGGUUGGACAUAAACGACUACCCCAUCUCUGAGUAAGGGAAUGCAGUAGGUAGAUGAGUGGAGGAGUCGUUACAAUUUUGUGCUCGAACAACAGCCGUAAUUCAUACUUUUUUCUUCACUUGUUCCCAAGGGCAUACAGGGGACCUGGUCAUUUCAAUUACAGAAUUGUGUUACGCAGUUUUGACCAAUUUUAAUAUUCCUUUUAUAUCAAUUAAUUAUCCCUGACAGCAACAUUAUAUCAAGGUAUAAACCGUGAGUAUGAAGGACGGACCAUUACCUUAUGUUUUUAAUUACUUCCCCAUCAUUUAUGUGUCGCACCCCCCCCCCCCCCCCCCCCCCCAAUUUGCACAUCAGCUAGCUAACCCACAACGCGGACAAACUACAGCUCAGCUCAAAACCGUGGCAGCUAGCAGGCUAGCGGCUAGUCCAGGACUUGCCCUCCAGGCACAUCGACUCCAGGGUUAAUGGCUAACAUGCUAACAUACUGUCUCUCACAGAGGGGAAGAUGCUCAUCAGUGUGGUUGUUAUUUUUGUA
Molecule: long non-coding RNA, 1673 nt
Organism: Gadus chalcogrammus (walleye pollock)
Lineage: Eukaryota; Metazoa; Chordata; Actinopteri; Gadiformes; Gadidae
Exons: 3
Source: RefSeq, a predicted model, not a curated record